RNAcentral lists this transfer RNA (70 nucleotides) under Schizopygopsis pylzovi. Its description in RNAcentral is "tRNA-Pro". The record is from RNAcentral. Lineage: Eukaryota; Metazoa; Chordata; Actinopteri; Cypriniformes; Cyprinidae.
CCAUAAAGGAUGACAUAUCCCCAGAGAAUAGUUUAGUUCAGAAUUCUGGCUUUGGGAGCCAGGGGUGAGA